RNAcentral lists this ribosomal RNA (659 nucleotides) under Enterococcus sp. T266. RNAcentral describes it as "bacterial SSU rRNA". It matches the Rfam family "Bacterial small subunit ribosomal RNA", at positions 63 to 711 of the family's 1533-position model. The record is from RNAcentral. Lineage: Bacteria; Bacillati; Bacillota; Bacilli; Lactobacillales; Enterococcaceae.
CGAGUGCUUGCACUCAAUUGGAAAGAGGAGUGGCGGACGGGUGAGUAACACGUGGGUAACCUACCCAUCAGAGGGGGAUAACACUUGGAAACAGGUGCUAAUACCGCAUAACAGUUUAUGCCGCAUGGCAUAAGAGUGAAAGGCGCUUUCGGGUGUCGCUGAUGGAUGGACCCGCGGUGCAUUAGCUAGUUGGUGAGGUAACGGCUCACCAAGGCCACGAUGCAUAGCCGACCUGAGAGGGUGAUCGGCCACACUGGGACUGAGACACGGCCCAGACUCCUACGGGAGGCAGCAGUAGGGAAUCUUCGGCAAUGGACGAAAGUCUGACCGAGCAACGCCGCGUGAGUGAAGAAGGUUUUCGGAUCGUAAAACUCUGUUGUUAGAGAAGAACAAGGACGUUAGUAACUGAACGUCCCCUGACGGUAUCUAACCAGAAAGCCACGGCUAACUACGUGCCAGCAGCCGCGGUAAUACGUAGGUGGCAAGCGUUGUCCGGAUUUAUUGGGCGUAAAGCGAGCGCAGGCGGUUUCUUAAGUCUGAUGUGAAAGCCCCCGGCUCAACCGGGGAGGGUCAUUGGAAACUGGGAGACUUGAGUGCAGAAGAGGAGAGUGGAAUUCCAUGUGUAGCGGUGAAAUGCGUAGAUAUAUGGAGGAACACCA